RNAcentral lists this transfer RNA (69 nucleotides) under Placobdella parasitica. Its description in RNAcentral is "transfer RNA Alanine". The record is from RNAcentral. Lineage: Eukaryota; Metazoa; Annelida; Clitellata; Rhynchobdellida; Glossiphoniidae. RNAcentral also lists the same sequence under 1 other name.
UGCAACUUAGUUUAGAUAGAACAGUUAAUUUGCAAUUAACAAGCGAUCGACUACACAAAUCAGUGGCAG